Macrobrachium nipponense is the source of this 1169-nucleotide long non-coding RNA. RefSeq lists it as uncharacterized. The transcript has 3 exons. The record is from RefSeq and is a predicted model, not a curated record. Lineage: Eukaryota; Metazoa; Arthropoda; Malacostraca; Decapoda; Palaemonidae.
UGUCGCUGAUGACCGAUCCGAAUCAGCGGAGGGGGGGUACAGAAGGUCCUCCAGGACCUUAGCUUGGUGGGUGUCGCUUCUCAGCCGACCUUCUCCUGAGUUGAUGAGUGCUCUGCGUAUUCAGCCUCAGUUUCCGUGGAUUGGGUGCGUUUUGCUUCUUUCAACUCUCGGAGUUUUCAUCCAUUCGCCUAUACAUUCCCUCCCUGCAUAAGGCGGGUUUGGAUUUCGGCUUCCCCGGUAAUCGUUGAGGGUUAUGUUUACGGAAGUUGCUCUUCCGUGGGCGAACAUAAUGUAGUGUUAUUUUAGUUUUUUAUCUCUGUUUUGCCACGGAACUUCAAGUUCUUGUGGCCGUCCCGGGAUACUUCGUGUAUCCCUCCCGGGUCAUACAGUCCCGGGUUGAUUUAUGUCUUACACAGUUCCUGGGAUGUAUAUAUUUAUAUAUAUAUUUAUAUAUUAUAUAUAUUAUAUUGUUUCAAUCCGGAAUGAUCUGGCAUAUUACUUUGUAACAUGGGUAUUCCUAUAAGUUUGCGCAAACGUUCUUAUACGUAUGUUAUCGCACUUACAGGCCACCCAGUGUCUGGUUGCCGGCUGUAACGCUAUUCUACAGGAUCCAUGCGGCCACGAUGUUUGCCGGGGCCAUGCCCCGUGUGCAGUGUUGCUGAAAGAUUCCGUAGUCUGGCAUCACGGAAACUGCUUUGCCUGCUACGUCUUGGUGCAACAGGUUACCUCUCCGACGGAGCGAGCAGUCUGUUAAGGAUGCUGCACCCUCCACCCUCAUGAUCUGGGUUGGAGGUUUUGGCCAGAACGUAAGGAAGGCUAAGCUGUAUAUCCUAUCCCUAGAUAUGGCAGCUUUGAUCUUCCCGGCCGGAGAAAUCAGCCGGAUACGUUGACCCAGAAGUCGCAGCACCGAUUAUCAAAUGAAUUAGGGAUUCAGUUAUUGAACAGCAAUAGGCGGAAUUGCCGGAGCUUGGGUUGGAAGGAGUGUCACUUGAAGUGCUUGACAAUUUGCCCAUUACACCAGAUGUGGGCACAGAUAUUUCUCCAUACAACCACUGCAUGGUAAGCUGGCAGAGUACAAGUAACAGUUCUAAGGCGCUCUAAAAAAAUAAUUACCGACGUGAAUGUUAUUCAGUGAAGCAAUCCUAACUACAGCAAAAGAGGCUGGCUAG